CCUACGGGAUGCAGCAGUGAGGAAUAUUGGUCAAUGGGCGUAAGCCUGAACCAGCCAAGUCGCGUGAGGGAUGAAGGUUCUAUGGAUCGUAAACCUCUUUUAUAAGGGAAUAAAGUGUGGGACGUGUCCUGUUUUGUAUGUACCUUAUGAAUAAGGAUCGGCUAACUCCGUGCCAGCAGCCGCGGUAAUACGGAGGAUCCGAGAGUUAUCCGGAUUUAUUGGGUUUAAAGGGUGCGUAGGCGGCCUUUUAAGUCAGCGGUGAAAGUCGGUGGCUCAACCAUAGAAUUGCCGUUGAAACUGGGAGGCUUGAGUAUGUUUGAGGCAGGCGGAAUGCGUGGUGUAGCGGUGAAAUGCUUAGAUAUCACGCAGAACCCCGAUUGCGAAGGCAGCCUGCCAAGCCAUGACUGACGCUGAUGCACGAAAGCGUGGGGAUCAAACAGGAUUAGAUACCCCAGUAGUC
RNAcentral lists this ribosomal RNA (460 nucleotides) under uncultured bacterium. RNAcentral describes it as "partial 16S ribosomal RNA". It matches the Rfam family "Bacterial small subunit ribosomal RNA", at positions 338 to 795 of the family's 1533-position model. The record is from RNAcentral.